This 3498-nucleotide long non-coding RNA is filed under the name Brassica napus (rape). RNAcentral describes it as "long non-coding RNA (BNAP_LNC007859)". The record is from RNAcentral. Lineage: Eukaryota; Viridiplantae; Streptophyta; Magnoliopsida; Brassicales; Brassicaceae.
GGAAAUGGAUGGCUUGGAUGAGUCUUUGGAUCUGGUCAAGGUAGACUGAAUGGUGAUUGGUUCUCCCUUGCUGGCGCCUGAUUGCUUUACUUAAAGCUCCAUGUAUCUUCCCUCUCCUUUGGCCAGAUACAUGAUCUCUUCUUUGCCUUUACUUUACAGCUCACGCCAGCUUGCACAUUUGAAUUUGAACAAGCUGUAUGGAUAAGGUUUCUUAUCCAUAAACGGUCAAGAGAGCUCAGCACCUUCCUGGUUACUUCCUAAGGCAUCUCGGACAGUAUAUGCCUUUAGGAUCUUUGCUCUCUUGCCCACUUGUUCCCCAAACCUUCUUCAUGCCUUGUAUCACAAGUCUUCAUCAGCUGAGUGUACGGAUUAGGGUUGCUUCUCUCACAUUGCGCCCUAUCUUUGCACAACUCCAAAACAUCCCAAGACUUGAUAGAAACUCUUUUGGAUCAGCCAUGUCCUUCCCGGGCCGUACCAUCCGUACAUGGCCGUACAUGGCUGUCCCUAUCUUUGCACCAUCUACCUUUCUCUCCUUAACUCAUCCAAAGACUACUCCACUUCUAUCUGAACUCUUCUUAGCCAUUGUCCCAACCUUAUAUCAGCUUCUCAUCUCUUCUGAAGCUUCAUAGAACUCUUCUUAAGAUCUUCAAGAGCUUGCCCCUAUUUAUGCACAAGCUCCAUUCUUCUCUUCAGUUCAACAAGCUAUGUCUUCUAGCAUAUAAAGCUCUCCUUUGGUAACUCCCUUGCCAAUCAUUUUCCUUGUAUCAAUAUCCUGAAACUUCACAUCAUUAGGACUAAAGAUAACAUUGCAAUGCAAAUCAGUAGUACAUCUUUUAACAGAUAAUAAAUUAGAUGUGAAUUCAGGCAUAUAAAAUGCUUUAGACUCUUUAUCAAACAGCUUUAGAUAAGCUUGAAUGGAUUGCUUCAUGAUCCUCACACACACACCAUUGCCGCUCCUCUUCUGAUCUUGCCAUCUUCAUGGAAUGCUUGUGGAAGCCUCAGCUAUCUCUCCAAUCACUUCACACUAGAAGCCGCCUUGAUAGAGUUUCCUUCAUCUUCUCACAGCCAGAGUACUCUGUCUUAGUUUGAGUACUCUCUUGAAUAGACUCGCCACAGCCUAAGCCCGGAUGGCUCCUUCUUCAGAUGCUUGCAAUGGACUUCUUGGAUCGCUUGGAAGCUCACUAAACUCCCCUCCUCAAGCUUGGAUUGAGUAUAGGUCCAAGCUUGCAAGUGAGCUUCAGUGACACUUCACACCAGUGGCGCAUCACCACUUCUUUCUCAACUCUCCAUUGCUCCACACAAUGGGCAAAGUCUUCCUCUUUCAACUCGGAUGGAUGGUGAACCAAGAACACCUCUUGUGAACCUGAAACAUCACUCAAACUCCAGCAAAGAUAAGACACAAGUGCAUUGGGUCAACCCUUGAUGCAUCAUCAAGUUUGAACACCAAUGUCUUUAAGCAAUGCAACAGAUUAAACUAGACAUUUUCAAGUUCUAAUCUUUGCAAGCAAACUCUCUAAGCACUAGCAUGAUCCUAACAGAUUCAAUACAAGCUACUUAGGCAAUUUUUAAAGCUUCUUUACUCAGCAUUUAGACAUGAAUCUAAUGCUUCAAUGUAAGACAGCCAUUUGACAGUAUGCACUAACCUUAACCAGUUUUAAUUCAUGAAUGCAACAAAACAAUUCAUCACACAUUCAUUUAUAACUUAGGCUAAGCAUUACUAUCAUCACUUAACAUCAGACAAUGCAUUACUUUCAAUCUGUUUUCAGUUCAUGAGCUUCAAACAAUAUCAUUUCACAUUUAGCAAACUCAUUACUUAACAGGAGCAAGCAUUUUACUCUUUAAACACUAAACAAGCCUUUAAAGCAUCCUGGGACAGAUUCAACUAAUUAUAUUUAGCAAUCACAUUAUCCUCAGGUUUAACAAUCACUACACAUCACAAUACACAACUCAUAUUAUCAUCUACUCAUCAUUAAGAAGGUUUUAAGAAUCGUUUACCACAAGGAACCAGAUUGGUUCCUUAACCUUUCAUGAAACCGGCCAUGCUUUGUUGGACUUGAGAGUGUGGAUCGUCACCCACCUCCUUCACCUUCAGUUCAUGGCCUCCAUCUUGUACCAUCAGCUUCAAAGACCCCUCCUUUCUUCAUCUCCACUAGGCGCCAAGCUCUUGACACCAUCUUCUUUGGAACCGGAUGUGUUCUUCUCUUGGACAAGGAGCCUUGGUACAAGGAUAGCUAGGCCUUGUCCAUACACCUCUGCUUCCAAGGAGAAUCACCAUCAGGACAGGAAGAGAACAGGAUGAGGAACCAUGAGAACUCGCCAAGCUUCAGUCUUCUUCUUCAUAAGGAGCUGAACCGGAUGGAGAGAGCUUCAAUGGUUUGGAUUUGAGCUGAGGAGAGAGCAGUGUGUUUGCGGAAGCUUCAGCUCAGGUUCUGAUGAACCUGGCUCUGAUACCAUAUGAGAUUUGAGAGCUCUGGCUGUGUAUGUGUAUGAGAAGCCAUUAGAGGCAAAGAAUAAGGUCUUGAACUAGUUGAAUAAGAGGUCUGAUGAAACUAGUAUGAACUUGAAUCAGAAACAAAGAGACUUAGAGAGAUUAAGAGAUUAGAGACUAAGAAAGGGGUAGAUUAAGGGAAUCUGAUCAAGAACACACUUUUAUAUUUAUGAAGGAGAUGGGGAAAACCCCCAUACUCUCUUAAGAGAGCUAGACACGCCCAUAAGGGUCUUUAUAUAGGUUUUACACUCUUGCAAACGAGCUUACAAAACGUCCAUACAUCAGUUUAUAUAUGUUUUCACACUCUGAAACUCAUAAACCUAAAUCUGAUGGCUCUAAAUGACUUUGGGAAAUGAAUGGCUUGGAUGUAGCUUUGGAUCUGGUCAAGGAAGGCUGAAUGGUGAUUGGUUCUUGCUUGCUGGCGCCUGAUUGCUUUUCUUAAAGCUCCAUGUAUCUUCCCUCUCCUUUGGCCAGAUACAUGACUUCUUCUUUGCCUUUACUUUACAGCUCAUGCCAGCUUGCUUAUUUGAAUUUGAACAAGCUGUAUGGAUAAGGUUUCUUAUCCAUAAACGGUCAAGAGAGCUCAGCACCUUCCUGGUUACUUCCUAAAGCAUCUCGGACAGCAUAUGCCUUUAGGAUCUUUGCUCUCUUGCCCUAAGCCUUCUUCAUGCCUUGUAUCACAAGUCUUCAUCAGCUGAGUGUACGGAUUAGGGUUGCUUCUCUCACAUUGCGCCCUAUCUUUGCACAACUCCAAAACCUCCCAAGACUUGAUAGAAACUCUUUUGGAUCAGCCAUGUCCUUCCCGGGCCGUACCAUCCGUACAUGGCCGUACAUGGCUGUCCCUAUCUUUGCACCAUCUACCUUUCUCUCCUUAACUCAUCCAAAGACUACUCCACUUCUAUCUGAACUCUUCUUAGCCAUUGUCCCAACCUUAUAUCAGCUUCUCAUCACUUCUGAAGCUUCAUAGAACUCUUCUUAAGAUCUUCAAGAGCUUGUCCCUAUUUAUGCAC